Molecule: small nucleolar RNA, 150 nt
Filed under: Aotus nancymaae (Ma's night monkey)
Lineage: Eukaryota; Metazoa; Chordata; Mammalia; Primates; Aotidae
Description: Small nucleolar RNA SNORA46 (ENSANAG00000010796.1)
Source: RNAcentral
AGUCAUAUAAGUAGGGACCACUGAGUGAACCUUACUAGAAAAGCGAAUGCCCAUGCUUGGUUACACUGUAGCACAGAAUUCCUGGCUCCUUUCUGUUGCACAGCUGACUUGUGCCAUUGUGCUGCUGCAGUGUGGAGUUGAGAAACAUGA